CCUACGGGAGGCAGCAGUGGGGAAUAUUGCACAAUGGGGGAAACCCUGAUGCAGCGACGCCGCGUGAAGGAAGAAGUAUUUCGGUAUGUAAACUUCUAUCAGCAGGGAAGAAAAUGACGGUACCUGACUAAGAAGCCCCGGCUAACUACGUGCCAGCAGCCGCGGUAAUACGUAGGGGGCAAGCGUUAUCCGGAUUUACUGGGUGUAAAGGGAGCGUAGGCGGGUUAGCAAGUCAGAAGUGAAAGCCCGGGGCUCAACUCCGGGACUGCAUGUGAAACUGUUGAACUAGAGUGCUGGAGAGGUAAGUGGAAUUCCUAGUGUAGCGGUGAAAUGCGUAGAUAUUAGGAGGAACACCAGUGGCGAAGGCGGCUUACUGGACUGUAAAUGACGCUGAGGCUCGAAAGCGUGGGGAGCAAACAGGAUUAGAUACCCCUGUAGUC
RNAcentral lists this ribosomal RNA (440 nucleotides) under uncultured bacterium. RNAcentral describes it as "partial 16S ribosomal RNA". It matches the Rfam family "Bacterial small subunit ribosomal RNA", at positions 338 to 795 of the family's 1533-position model. The record is from RNAcentral.